CCUCCAUUUUAGCCCAGGACCUCAGAAGGGAAAGCAGCAGUCUGUCCCGUAAGACCAGAAUAACAACACUGACUGAGUGGUUGCUAAGAAACUCCUUGGAGGUAUGGUGAGUGAGCGAGGCAGGGGUUAGCCUGAACAGGUGGGCAGCCAGCACUGAGACCCUGCCCUGUGAGGAAAAAGCUUUAUAGGUUCAAAGUCUGUGAUGUGGAGAGGUUACGAACCAUAACAAUCUAUCAGAAGACAUGACUAGGGGGAAGCCCACUGUCCCUGUAAUGACCCAAGAAAUGUAAGCAGAGAAAUAUUGUCCUUCUCACUGAGUUCAUUCUCUGGGAUAGUUGUGAUUACUGCUUGCAUGAGAGUAUAUUACUUCAGAGUGGGAAGCCCAUUUGUUAUGUAUUUCUGGGGUAUACUGGGUUGGUGAGAAAACAUCAUGGUGUCCCCUGAUAGUCCUUUGACCUAUUGUCUUCUGUGAUGGUGGUCAGAACUCCUUGAACAGAAUUCCUUCCUCAAAGUUCCCUUGAAGGAGGAAAUAGUUGAGGAAUUUGUUAAUGUGUUGUUCUGAUGACUAAGCAUGUUCCAAGAUACUGCUUUGCAUGCCUACACGUGCAUUUACUUGAACCUAGAUUUACUGCGCAGUAAGCUACUGCACAGUAAGGGUUUUUGGGUCAGUGGCAGAGUCGAGGCCCAGCAGCGGGGACGUCCAAUCCUGGUGCUGCUCUAAGCAGAUCCAGGUCCACACCCAUUUGGAUUUGGUGCAAGUGGCAAGCCUAGACCCAGGCAGGUGGUGGUGGACCUGGAGCAGGGGCUGGGCCAGGGGCUCUUGCUGCUGGGAGGUGAUGGAAGAACUCCUUCCAAGAGUCGGGGUCUGCUGUGGGGCACCGGGUGACUGCCAGGGGCCUGCAAGGCUAGGAGCAGGGGCUAGGCAGCAGUGGGUAUGCACAAGUCUACCAGGCACAGUGUAGCAAAACCCCCAGUGUUUCUUUUUUUUUCUUUUAAAAUGCAUUCCCCCCACUUCCCCAACCAUUUCUUACUUUUUCUCUCCCUCUAUUCCAUAUAGAUAAGUAUAA
Molecule: long non-coding RNA, 1067 nt
Organism: Alligator sinensis (Chinese alligator)
Lineage: Eukaryota; Metazoa; Chordata; Crocodylia; Alligatoridae
Exons: 3
Source: RefSeq, a predicted model, not a curated record